Molecule: ribosomal RNA, 346 nt
Filed under: uncultured bacterium
Lineage: Bacteria
Description: partial 16S ribosomal RNA
Rfam family: Bacterial small subunit ribosomal RNA
Source: RNAcentral
CCUACGGGUGGCUGCAGUGGGGAAUAUUGGGCAAUGGGCGCAAGCCUGACCCAGCAACGCCGCGUGCAGGAAGACGGCUUUCUGGUUUUAAACUUCUUUUAUCAGGGACGAAACAAGUGACGGUCCCUGAUGACUGCGCCACUGCUACCUACGUGCCAGCAGCCGCUGUGAUACGUAGGUGGCAAGCGUUCUCCGGAUUUACUGGGUGUACAGGGCGUGUAGGCGGGAGGGCAAGUCAGAUGUGAAAACUAUGGGCUCAACCCAUAGCCUGCAUUUGAUACUGUACUUCUUGAGUGCUGGAGAGGCAAUCGGAAUUGCGUGUGUAGCGGUGAAAUGCGUAGAUAUA